RNAcentral lists this long non-coding RNA (438 nucleotides) under Helianthus annuus (common sunflower). Its description in RNAcentral is "hypothetical non coding rna". The record is from RNAcentral. Lineage: Eukaryota; Viridiplantae; Streptophyta; Magnoliopsida; Asterales; Asteraceae.
UUUUUUGUGCCAAGAAGAUUUUCUCAACUGGGAUUUCCAUUCCUAGAUCUCCACGAGCAAUCAUGAACGAGUCAGUCUCACGUAAAAUUUCAUCGAAAUUGACCACUCCUUCUUGGUUCUCAACCUACACAUCAACUGUAUUCUCUUGGCAUGAGGGCCAAGAACCUUGCGUACAUUAACAAGAUCCGAGCCUUUUCGAACAAACGAAAGCGCAAUCAUAUCAAUGUUGUUAGGGACACCCCAUCCAAGGAUAUCUUCUAUGUCCUUUUCUGUGAGUGUUGGAAGAUCAACUAUGACACCUGGAAGAUUCACGUUUUUCCGCUCGCCUAGCAUGGCUGUAUUCUCACAGCGACAACGGACUGUCCCAGCCGCCUGAUCACAUGAAACGACCGUUAGAGUUAUGGUCCCGUCAGAACACAGGAUGGUGUUGCCGGGCUU